UACGUAGGGGGCAAGCGUUGUCCGGAAUCAUUGGGCGUAAAGAGCGUGUAGGCGGCCCGGUAAGUCCGCUGUGAAAGUCCAGGGCUCAACCCUGGGAUGCCGGUGGAUACUGUCGGGCUCGAGUCCGGAAGAGGAGUGUGGAAUUCCUGGUGUAGCGGUGAAAUGCGCAGAUAUCUGGAGGAACACCGGUGGCGAAGGCGGCGUUCUGGACUGUAACUGACACUGAGAAACGAAAGCCAGGGUAGCAAACGGG
This 253-nucleotide ribosomal RNA is filed under the name uncultured bacterium. Its description in RNAcentral is "partial 16S ribosomal RNA". It matches the Rfam family "Bacterial small subunit ribosomal RNA", at positions 524 to 776 of the family's 1533-position model. The record is from RNAcentral.